AUUGAACGCUGGCGGCAUGCCUUACACAUGCAAGUCGAACGGCAGCGCGGGGCAACCUGGCGGCGAGUGGCGAACGGGUGAGUAAUAUAUCGGAACAUACCCUAGAGUGGGGGAUAACGUAGCGAAAGUUACGCUAAUACCGCAUACGCACUAAGGUGGAAAGUGGGGGAUCUUCGGACCUCAUGCUCAUGGAGUGGCCGAUAUCUGAUUAGCUAGUUGGUGAGGUAAAGGCUCACCAAGGCGACGAUCAGUAGCUGGUUUGAGAGGACGACCAGCCACACUGGAACUGAGACACGGUCCAGACUCCUACGGGAGGCAGCAGUGGGGAAUUUUGGACAAUGGGGCGACCAGACUC
This 355-nucleotide ribosomal RNA is filed under the name uncultured bacterium. Its description in RNAcentral is "bacterial SSU rRNA". It matches the Rfam family "Bacterial small subunit ribosomal RNA", at positions 30 to 388 of the family's 1533-position model. The record is from RNAcentral.